RNAcentral lists this ribosomal RNA (687 nucleotides) under Polarella glacialis. RNAcentral's name for it is "partial Bacterial small subunit ribosomal RNA". It matches the Rfam family "Bacterial small subunit ribosomal RNA", at positions 123 to 811 of the family's 1533-position model. Lineage: Eukaryota; Dinophyceae; Suessiales; Suessiaceae. The record is from RNAcentral.
AACAUGCCUUUGGGUGGGGGAUAACUAUUGGAAACGAUAGCUAAUACCGCAUAAUACCUACGGGUCAAAGGGGGCUUCGGCUCCCGCGCAAAGAGAAGCCCAGGUGAGAUUAGCUUGUUGGUGAGGUAAAGGCUCACCAAGGCGACGAUCUCUAGCUGUUCUGAGAGGAAGAUCAGCCACACUGGAACUGAGACACGGUCCAGACUCCUACGGGAGGCAGCAGUGGGGAAUAUUGCACAAUGGAGGAAACUCUGAUGCAGCCAUGCCGCGUGUGUGAAGAAGGCCUUCGGGUUGUAAAGCACUUUCAGUUGUGAGGAAAGGCUAGUAGUUAAUACCUGCUAGCUGUGACGUUAACAACAGAAGAAGCACCGGCUAACUCCGUGCCAGCAGCCGCGGUAAUACGGAGGGUGCAAGCGUUAAUCGGAAUUACUGGGCGUAAAGCGCACGCAGGCGGUCUGUUAAGCUAGAUGUGAAAGCCCCGGGCUCAACCUGGGAAUAGCAUUUAGAACUGGCAGACUAGAGUCUUGGAGAGGGGAGUGGAAUUUCUGGUGUAGCGGUGAAAUGCGUAGAUAUCAGAAGGAACAUCAGUGGCGAAGGCGACUCCCUGGCCAAAGACUGACGCUCAUGUGCGAAAGUGUGGGUAGCGAACAGGAUUAGAUACCCUGGUAGUCCACACCGUAAACGCUG